AUAAUGGUUUUGAUCGGGACAAGUAGAGCGAUACGAUUUUGUGAAGCGAACUGAGGUUUGGUGCGAGCUCAGUCAAAUCUUCGCUCGAAGAUCACCCGUGAACUGUUGUCCGAAAUCGUCAGAGAGUAGGAUGGACCGUAUCAUUCACGUUACGAAUGUUAGAGCGGAUUUGAUCGUUUCUAUGUUUAGACGAUCAGAGCCAUUAGGGUGGUACCGCGGGAAACCUUCUCGUCCCUAGA
This 239-nucleotide non-coding RNA is filed under the name Thermoactinomyces sp. RNAcentral describes it as "T-box sequence". It matches the Rfam family "T-box leader". From Rfam's summary of the family: Uncharged tRNA acts as the effector for transcription antitermination of genes in the T-box leader family. The record is from RNAcentral. Lineage: Bacteria; Bacillati; Bacillota; Bacilli; Caryophanales; Thermoactinomycetaceae.